This 1906-nucleotide ribosomal RNA is filed under the name Escherichia coli. RNAcentral describes it as "partial 23S ribosomal RNA". It matches the Rfam family "Bacterial large subunit ribosomal RNA", at positions 919 to 2806 of the family's 2925-position model. Lineage: Bacteria; Pseudomonadati; Pseudomonadota; Gammaproteobacteria; Enterobacterales; Enterobacteriaceae. The record is from RNAcentral.
CAAGGGGGUCAUCCCGACUUACCAACCCGAUGCAAACUGCGAAUACCGGAGAAUGUUAUCACGGGAGACACACGGCGGGUGCUAACGUCCGUCGUGAAGAGGGAAACAACCCAGACCGCCAGCUAAGGUCCCAAAGUCAUGGUUAAGUGGGAAACGAUGUGGGAAGGCCCAGACAGCCAGGAUGUUGGCUUAGAAGCAGCCAUCAUUUAAAGAAAGCGUAAUAGCUCACUGGUCGAGUCGGCCUGCGCGGAAGAUGUAACGGGGCUAAACCAUGCACCGAAGCUGCGGCAGCGACACUAUGUGUUGUUGGGUAGGGGAGCGUUCUGUAAGCCUGUGAAGGUGGCCUGUGAGGGUUGCUGGAGGUAUCAGAAGUGCGAAUGCUGACAUAAGUAACGAUAAAGCGGGUGAAAAGCCCGCUCGCCGGAAGACCAAGGGUUCCUGUCCAACGUUAAUCGGGGCAGGGUGAGUCGACCCCUAAGGCGAGGCCGAAAGGCGUAGUCGAUGGGAAACAGGUUAAUAUUCCUGUACUUGGUGUUACUGCGAAGGGGGGACGGAGAAGGCUAUGUUGGCCGGGCGACGGUUGUCCCGGUUUAAGCGUGUAGGCUGGUUUUCCAGGCAAAUCCGGAAAACCAAGGCUGAGGCGUGAUGACGAGGCACUACGGUGCUGAAGCGACAAAUGCCCUGCUUCCAGGAAAAGCCUCUAAGCAUCAGGUAACAUCAAAUCGUACCCCAAACCGACACAGGUGGUCAGGUAGAGAAUACCAAGGCGCUUGAGAGAACUCGGGUGAAGGAACUAGGCAAAAUGGUGCCGUAACUUCGGGAGAAGGCACGCUGAUAUGUAGGUGAAGCGACUUGCUCGUGGAGCUGAAAUCAGUCGAAGAUACCAGCUGGCUGCAACUGUUUAUUAAAAACACAGCACUGUGCAAACACGAAAGUGGACGUAUACGGUGUGACGCCUGCCCGGUGCCGGAAGGUUAAUUGAUGGGGUUAGCGGUAACGCGAAGCUCUUGAUCGAAGCCCCGGUAAACGGCGGCCGUAACUAUAACGGUCCUAAGGUAGCGAAAUUCCUUGUCGGGUAAGUUCCGACCUGCACGAAUGGCGUAAUGAUGGCCAGGCUGUCUCCACCCGAGACUCAGUGAAAUUGAACUCGCUGUGAAGAUGCAGUGUACCCGCGGCAAGACGGAAAGACCCCGUGAACCUUUACUAUAGCUUGACACUGAACAUUGAGCCUUGAUGUGUAGGAUAGGUGGGAGGCUUUGAAGUGUGGACGCCAGUCUGCAUGGAGCCGACCUUGAAAUACCACCCUUUAAUGUUUGAUGUUCUAACGUUGGCCCGUAAUCCGGGUUGCGGACAGUGUCUGGUGGGUAGUUUGACUGGGGCGGUCUCCUCCUAAAGAGUAACGGAGGAGCACGAAGGUUGGCUAAUCCUGGUCGGACAUCAGGAGGUUAGUGCAAUGGCAUAAGCCAGCUUGACUGCGAGCGUGACGGCGCGAGCAGGUGCGAAAGCAGGUCAUAGUGAUCCGGUGGUUCUGAAUGGAAGGGCCAUCGCUCAACGGAUAAAAGGUACUCCGGGGAUAACAGGCUGAUACCGCCCAAGAGUUCAUAUCGACGGCGGUGUUUGGCACCUCGAUGUCGGCUCAUCACAUCCUGGGGCUGAAGUAGGUCCCAAGGGUAUGGCUGUUCGCCAUUUAAAGUGGUACGCGAGCUGGGUUUAGAACGUCGUGAGACAGUUCGGUCCCUAUCUGCCGUGGGCGCUGGAGAACUGAGGGGGGCUGCUCCUAGUACGAGAGGACCGGAGUGGACGCAUCACUGGUGUUCGGGUUGUCAUGCCAAUGGCACUGCCCGGUAGCUAAAUGCGGAAGAGAUAAGUGCUGAAAGCAUCUAAGCACGAAACUUGCCCCGAGAUG